RNAcentral lists this ribosomal RNA (231 nucleotides) under Escherichia coli. RNAcentral describes it as "partial 16S ribosomal RNA". It matches the Rfam family "Bacterial small subunit ribosomal RNA", at positions 1 to 226 of the family's 1533-position model. The record is from RNAcentral. Lineage: Bacteria; Pseudomonadati; Pseudomonadota; Gammaproteobacteria; Enterobacterales; Enterobacteriaceae.
UUAAAUUGAAGAGUUUGAUCAUGGCUCAGAUUGAACGCUGGCGGCAGGCCUAACACAUGCAAGUCGAACGGUAACAGGAAACAGCUUGCUGUUUCGCUGACGAGUGGCGGACGGGUGAGUAAUGUCUGGGAAACUGCCUGAUGGAGGGGGAUAACUACUGGAAACGGUAGCUAAUACCGCAUAACGUCGCAAGACCAAAGAGGGGGACCUUCGGGCCUCUUGCCAUCAGAU